UACAGAGGUCUCAAGCGUUGUUCGGAUUCAUUGGGCGUAAAGGGUGCGUAGGCGGCGCGGUAAGUCGGGUGUGAAAUUUCGGAGCUUAACUGCGAAACUGCAUUCGAUACUGAGAGUCUCGAGUCCGGGAGAGGUGAGUGGAACUGCGAGUGUAGAGGUGAAAUUCGUAGAUAUUCGCAAGAACACCAGUGGCGAAGGCGGCUCACUGGCCCGAUACUGACGCUGAGGUGCGAAAGCGUGGGGAGCAAACAGG
This 253-nucleotide ribosomal RNA is filed under the name uncultured bacterium. RNAcentral's name for it is "partial 16S ribosomal RNA". It matches the Rfam family "Bacterial small subunit ribosomal RNA", at positions 524 to 776 of the family's 1533-position model. The record is from RNAcentral.